AUUGAACGCUGGCGGCGGGCCUAACACAUGCAAGUCGAGCGGAUGAAGGGAGCUUGCUCCUGGAUUCAGCGGCGGACGGGUGAGUAAUGCCUAGGAAUCUGCCUGGUAGUGGGGGAUAACGUCCGGAAACGGGCGCUAAUACCGCAUACGUCCUGAGGGAGAAAGUGGGGGAUCUUCGGACCUCACGCUAUCAGAUGAGCCUAGGUCGGAUUAGCUAGUUGGUGGGGUAAAGGCCUACCAAGGCGACGAUCCGUAACUGGUCUGAGAGGAUGAUCAGUCACACUGGAACUGAGACACGGUCCAGACUCCUACGGGAGGCAGCAGGGGGGAAUAUUGGACAAUGGGCGAAAGCCUGAUCCAGCCAUGCCGCGUGUGUGAAGAAGGUCUUCGGAUUGUAAAGCACUUUAAGUUGGGAGGAAGGGCAGUAAGUUAAUACCUUGCUGUUUUGACGUUACCAACAGAAUAAGCACCGGCUAACUUCGUG
RNAcentral lists this ribosomal RNA (484 nucleotides) under uncultured bacterium. RNAcentral describes it as "partial 16S ribosomal RNA". It matches the Rfam family "Bacterial small subunit ribosomal RNA", at positions 30 to 507 of the family's 1533-position model. The record is from RNAcentral.